UUCUGGGAAUUGAAACCCACACAUCUUAAAGUGGCUAAGUUUUAAAAAAAUGCUGGGGUUAAAGGGGGAUUGGUAGGAUUUAGCUGCAAUUGGUUAAAUUGCAAUUAAAUAAUUAGCUGGGUGGGAUUUAACUGCAAUUGGUUAAAUUGCAAUUAAUUAGAUGGGUAGGAUUUAGCUGCAAUUGGUUAAAUUGCAAUUAAUUAGAUGGGUAGGAUUUAACUGCAGUUGGUUACAUUGCAAUUAGUUGGUUAGGACUGAACUGCAAUUGGUUAAAUUGCAAUUAGAUGGGUAGGAUUGAACUGUAAUUGGUUAAAUUGUAAUUAAUUAAUUAGAUGGGUAGGAUUGAACUGCAAGCCCUUUAGCAUCCUUGCUCCUUCGUGUGCCUUCUAUCUAGUUCCUUAUCUGUCCUUUUGUACUGGGGCAAUCAAAACUGCCACAAUAUAGGUAGUCCUCGACUUACAACCACAACUGAGCCCAAUAUUUAUCAUGGGGAUGCUGCAAAGGUCAUAACUGAAAUGUGGUCAUAAGUCACAUUUUUCAGUGCUGUCCUAACUUUGAACGGUCACUAAAUGAAUAGAACAGCUGGAAGGGACCUUGGAAGUCCAGGCCCCUGCUAAAACAGGAGAACCUAUGAAUAAACUGUUGUAAAUUGAGGACUACCUGUAUUAUAGAUGUGGGCUGACCAGCACAGCAUAGAGCUGGACUAUCACUUCUUGUGAUGUUGAUACUGCAUUUCUCUUGAUGCAGGCCAAGACUGUGUUAAUGCUUUUGGUUGCAGCCUGGCUCAUGCUUAAUGUGUGGUUUUGCAGAUCAUCUAGUUUCUUUUCGCCAGUACCUUGACUAAGCCAGAUUGACCUCAUGUGGGCCAGACAGGGACAGCAAAGGACCGGAUGUCAUAAAAUGCUUAGGUCUGCAUUAUGUUGUGGCUGAGCAUGGCUGGGGAAUUCUGGGAAUUGAAUCCCACCCAUCUUAAAGUAGCUGCAGUUGAAAAACAUUGAUCGAAAUCAUCUAUCCUUUAAGGCCUCUGCUUAUACAGCCAAGGAUCAUAUUCGUUCAUGAACCACUACAAACCAAAGCUUAUGCUCUUUUAAGAAGAUUUGGAGAAGAUGCUAUCAGACUCCUGAAGAGGAUGGCAAGGAGCCAUAGGGCCCCCUCGGGAGAAAAGUGGA
Long non-coding RNA from Crotalus tigris (Tiger rattlesnake), 1169 nucleotides. RefSeq lists it as uncharacterized. The record is from RefSeq and is a predicted model, not a curated record. The transcript has 3 exons. NCBI's taxonomy places the organism in Eukaryota, Metazoa, Chordata, Lepidosauria, Squamata, Viperidae.